GUGCUCGCUUCGGCAGCACAUAUACUAAAAUUGGAAUGAUACAGAGAGGAUUAGCAUGGCCCUUAAAAAAUCACCCUUAGGGCUUGUUAAAACACACAUUACU
This is a small nuclear RNA of Callithrix jacchus (white-tufted-ear marmoset), 103 nucleotides long. The record is from Ensembl. NCBI's taxonomy places the organism in Eukaryota, Metazoa, Chordata, Mammalia, Primates, Cebidae.